GGUUGAUUAGGGUAGAAAUGUCCACUAGUGGUAGCAGGACAAUAUCAAGUAGUUUGGGAAUAGGAUGUGAUUUUUUGAGAAGCUGGGAUUGGGAGAGUGAGGUAUCGGUCGUGACCACAAAGACUGUGGCAUUGAAGCCAUGUUCACUUACCAGGCGUUUGCCUAGCUCUAGGACAGGGAUGAAGUGCCCCAUGCCAGGGCUCGCCAAUAGUGCUGCAUGAGGCUUCGUGGUUUGCAUGGAUACCAGAGUUAAAGAAAGAGUUUUGUGCUUUAGCUG
Molecule: unclassified non-coding RNA, 277 nt
Filed under: Hevea brasiliensis (rubber tree)
Lineage: Eukaryota; Viridiplantae; Streptophyta; Magnoliopsida; Malpighiales; Euphorbiaceae
Source: RNAcentral